RNAcentral lists this long non-coding RNA (949 nucleotides) under Salmo salar (Atlantic salmon). RNAcentral's name for it is "lncRNA (ENSSSAG00000085664.1, ENSSSAG00000091620.1)". Lineage: Eukaryota; Metazoa; Chordata; Actinopteri; Salmoniformes; Salmonidae. The record is from RNAcentral.
AGAUGCACAUGGGCCACAUACUAAAGUGAAAAAGCUGUUGUGAAAAAUGUUUAUGUGGCAAGUGACAAUGACUUACUUAUCCAUAACUUGGAAAAAUGUUUUUCUUUGUCUUUAUUAUUGUGGCAUCAAUAUAAUCCACAAUAGUAUACACAGAAUGUACAAACCAUUAGGAACACCUUCCAAAUAUAAUGUUGCACCCCCUUUUGCCCUCAGAACAGCCUAAAUUCUUUGAGGCAUGGACUCAACAAGGUGUUGAAAGCAUUCCAUAGGGACGCUGGCCCAUGUUGACUCCAAUGCUUCUCCCAGUUGUGUCAAGUUGGCUGGAUGUUGUUUGGGUGGUGGACCAUUCUUGAUAAAUACGGGAAACUGUUGAGCAUGAAAAACCCAGUAGCGUUGUAGUUCUUGAUACACUCAAACCGGUGCACUCGGAGAGCGCUGAGAGUCUGGAAGCAUGUUCAGGGAGUGAGUGUUUUAAUAAAUAAAAGAAACAAUGAACACAAACAACGUACUGACAUGAAAACAGAAUCAAUAACGCCUGAGGAAGGAACCAGGAGGAGUGACAGAUACAGGGAAGAUAUUCAAGGAGGUGAUGGAGUCCAGGUGAGUGUCAUAAGGCGCAGGUGCGCUUGACGAUGGCGACAGGUGUGCGGGAUAAUUAGCAGCCUGAUGACCUAGAGGUCAGAGAGGGAGUAUAAUCAGCAGCCUGAUGACCUAGAGGUCAGAGAGGGAGUAUAAUCAGCAGCCUGAUGACCUAGAGGUCAGAGAGGGAGUAUAAUCAGCAGCCUGAUGACCUAGAGGAAGGAGAGGGAGUAUAAUCAGCAGCAUGAUGACCUAGAGGUCGGAGAGGGAAGAUAAUCAGCAGCCUGAUGACCUAGAGGUCAGAGAGGGAGUAUAAUCAGCAGCCUGAUGACCUAGAGGUCAGAGAGGGAGUAUAAUCAGCAGCCUGAUG